AUAAAAUGAUAUGGAGACAAUGAUUAUUUAUAAAUUGUGUUCUAUCCUUAUAACUGCAUUAGGAGGUCCUGGAAAAGAGUAGGGUGGUCAGGAAAGCCACCUGCUAAGAAUUCAUCUGCAGUUGGAAAAGGCCUCUGCCACACAGCAGUCAGUCACCUACAAUGAAUGUUACCUUGUCACUGUCGAAGUGCUCCAAAUCGCAUAAUAUCGACUCAUUUUCAGAAUCAGAGAAGCCUCAGUAAAUUGAAAAGGAACCAACUUGAUGAUGAUGAAGUACAGCACUAAAAAAUGAUGGAAUGUUAAAAC
Molecule: long non-coding RNA, 306 nt
Filed under: Mustela putorius furo (domestic ferret)
Lineage: Eukaryota; Metazoa; Chordata; Mammalia; Carnivora; Mustelidae
Description: lncRNA (ENSMPUG00000029585.1)
Source: RNAcentral